GGGGGAUUCUAGGCAGACUCUACAGCUGAGUCACACCCCCCACGCUCCACCCUACCCCCACCCUGCGCCCAGCCCAGAAGCAUUUUUUUACCUUCCAGGCACCUUACAGAUCUCAACAUGGCCAGUCUUCUUUUAAGUCUUAGGAUUCCAUCAUCAAGGCGGCAUUACCCCACUUACUAAAGCUCACACAGGUUUAUGAGAUCACCUGGACAUAGUCACACUGUUGUUGUGGAAACCAAGCUUUUGGUCAGGUCUCUUCAGAGCCAGUCCUCCGUUCUUAAAUCAUGACCCUCAGGUGUCCCAUGGGAUUUCAGUUACAAUCAGGACAUGUUGUAUUGUUCCGUUGCCACUGAAAGCAGCCAGCAUCUUUCAUCAGGUCCUCAGCCUGGAUUCUGGGGGCUUUAUUAGCCCAAGAAAAUGGCCCAACUCCAGCUGACAUCAAUGGGGUCCCAUCGAGGAGUAAGAGCCGAGUAUUUCCUGUGGAGGCCCAGCCUCAGACAAACCAGUUUGAAGAGAAGCCAGUUGGCUUGACUGGAGCUACCAGCAAGCUAUUUUUGACAUAAAAAGAAGCUGAUAACUGAUUAAAGAAAAUUUUAAACACAG
This is a long non-coding RNA of Rattus norvegicus (Norway rat), 603 nucleotides long. RefSeq lists it as uncharacterized. NCBI's taxonomy places the organism in Eukaryota, Metazoa, Chordata, Mammalia, Rodentia, Muridae. The record is from RefSeq and is a predicted model, not a curated record.